This 461-nucleotide ribosomal RNA is filed under the name uncultured bacterium. RNAcentral's name for it is "bacterial SSU rRNA". It matches the Rfam family "Bacterial small subunit ribosomal RNA", at positions 28 to 507 of the family's 1533-position model. The record is from RNAcentral.
GACGAACGCUGGCGGCGUGCCUAACACAUGCAAGUCGAGCGAUGAAGCUUCUUCGGGAGUGGAUUAGCGGCGGACGGGUGAGUAACACGUGGGCAACCUACCUCAUAGUGGGGAAUAGCCUCUCGAAAGGGAGAUUAAUACCGCAUAAGAUCGUAGUUUCGCAUGAAACAGCGAUAAAAGGNUUUAUUCGCUAUGAGAUGGGCCCGCGGCGCAUUAGCUAGUUGGUGGGUAACGGCCUACCAAGGCGACGAUGCGUAGCCGACCUGAGAGGGUGAUCGGCCACAUUGGGACUGAGACACGGCCCAGACUCCUACGGGAGGCAGCAGUGGGGAAUAUUGCACAAUGGGGGGAACCCUGAUGCAGCAACGCCGCGUGAGUGAUGACGGUCUUCGGAUUGUAAAACUCUGUCUUUAGGGACGAUAAUGACGGUACCUAAGGAGGAAGCCACGGCUAACUACGUG